RNAcentral lists this long non-coding RNA (2672 nucleotides) under Olea europaea subsp. europaea. Lineage: Eukaryota; Viridiplantae; Streptophyta; Magnoliopsida; Lamiales; Oleaceae. The record is from RNAcentral.
AAAAAGGAACACAUAGAUAGCAGAGAAGAAGAACCGAGAAAUGUGAGAAAGGAAGGAAGAAGAAGAAGAAGAAGUGGAAGUGGGUUUUCAAGCUUGGAUUUUCCAUUUCUUCAAUUUCUCCACUGAUCUAGAGAGGUAGGUGUAAGUAUGUUGAAUUAUCUUUUUGAGUUUAUGGAAUUUAAGGUUUAGCAAAAAUUAAUGAUUUUUGAUAUAUGUUUGAGGCAUUAAAAACAAUAAUAUUAGUGUUGAAAGGAAGGAAAUAUGAAAUGGGUUUGCAAAUUAGAGUAUCAAUCUUUGAUAUAUGAUAUAAAACACUUGAUUUAUGAGGAAAUAGAGUGGCUUGAUUUAUGAGGAAUUAGAGUGGGUAAAGGAUUUUAGGUUAGAUUUUGGUAUUUAUAAUCAAUUUUCAAGCAAAAUUCAUGUACAGGUGCUAUCUUUGAAAUUCAUCCCAGAAAGUGCUAUUUCUGUCAAUGGAUUCGAUUGGUGUCAAAUUUCAAUAGUCUGGGAUUUAGUACUGUUUUUGUCCAGCUUUUGUUUUCUCAGAUUUUAUAAGUUUGAAUGAAGCUAAGUGAUAAAUUUUGGAGUCUAGUUAUUGGAUUAAAUCAUGGAUAGGGGUUGUGUGGGUGUAAGGUAGUGAUUUUAGGAAAGUAUUGAGUAAUCUAUUGGAUUUUAUUAUGUGCGAUGAUUGGUUGCUAAUAAUCAAAGAGCAAAUAAGUUAGGGAAAUAGAGAUGCAUGAAUAAAUAUAGAAGUUAAGGAAUUACACGAUGGUGACGUUAAUGGUCAUGUUUUAAUUUGAGUAAUUAUAUCAUUAUUUCAAGUGGUGAUGUGAAAGUUUGGAAAGUCUCUUCAAUUUAAUCAGAUGUCCGUGAGUAGAAAAACUUAUAUAAUUUUUGAAAAAUUAAUAUAUUAAUUAUACUAUUAGAUUUUGUGCAAUUUUGUGAAUUUCAUGUACGAAUACAUGAUUUUUAUGAAAGGUUCUUUCAUUAUGAUAUAUGUAAAAUCAUUAAGGUUAUACAUGGAUUAAUUACGAAUUGGAAUAUAACAUGUGAUUUUGAGAUCGAUCAAAAAAGUACACAUGAUUAUAUAUUUCUUCUAAUUCAUGGAGGGGUCUUGGCCGUGUUCUAGAAUUGAUUACCAAAGGUCUUGAAACCACUUUUGUUCAUAGAGGGGCCCAAAGACUCGUGACGAAAGUUUUUAACCUUAGGAGCAGAUUACAGAUUUUAAUCGGAUGGUACAUUUUCGGUGGAUUACAUGUAAUGUUAUGAGAUGAUGACAUGGAUUUGAGUUGAUAAUUAUAUCAUCACUAUGAGAUGAUAUUUUUCAGUGUUACGAGGUGUUUAUUAUUAUUAUUAUUAUUAUUAUUAUUAUUAUUAUUAUUAUUAUUAUUAUUAUUUUAGACUUUGAAUGGUUAAAUGAUGUACACUCAAUUUUCGAUAAAAUUGCGUAAAUGAGAAAGUAUAAUUAUGUUCAAACUUCUUUACUUACUGAAUUAUCAACUCAUAUAUUUUUUUCACUUUUUUCUUACCAGGUAACAAUCGCGUUUGGGGAGCUUUGAAGAGCUUGUUGAUUUAGGAGUCAUCGUCACAUGACCAUUUUAGAUUAUUUAUGUUCAUUGAGAUAAGUAUAUAAAAAAAAAUUAAUUUAGGCCCAUUGCAUUAUAUUUUUCAUAAAGCGCAUAUUUUGUAGUAAGUCAUAGUCAACCUUGGUGAUGGAUUUGGCAUCUAAUUAGUAUCUAUCAUCGGCACACGUCCUGUUCUCAAUCCAUUAGGGUGAUUCGGGACGGGUCGUGUCAACAUACAUGUCUUUUCUAUUCUUCGCUUGCUCUAGGGCAUGAUGCCACACCUCUUCCCUUGAUUCCUACUGCAUGAAUUUUAUGCCUAUAAAUUCCUGCCUUACUAACCUUACUGCAUAACAUGCAUUUCACAUUAUAAGGAUUUUUAGGAUCUUCCAAAAUCACACCAUAUCUAGAAUUUCUUUUUAGAUACUAGCUUUGGAUUUAGAUGUUGAAGAAUUAUAUUUUUCCAUUGGUUACAAAGAAAAUAGAAACAAUAUAAAAUUUAUAAAUAUUGGGGUUCAGUGUAGAUUUUCUUUUAUACUCUGAAAUGGAGACAAAAUUACAAGUUCUGUAAAUAUGACAGAAAUUGAAUCACUAACUUCAACAAAUCUAAAAAAAUUUAUUCCCCUUUAUAGUGGGUUUGUCUCUUUUGCAGAUUGAGAUGGAGAUAUCACCAACUUACUGUAGAAAGUGCCGAAGUGGAUGUUAGACAUGGAGUAGAGGAAGUUUGGGGACUUUUGCUUCGUUCAAGUCUGCCAAAGUGGAUGUUGGAUUUUGAAGAGAGGAAGUUUUGUGACUUUUGCUUCAAUCAAGAUGCUGUUUCUCUCUCUAUGGCAGACGAGAAGGAAAAAAUCAGUCUCUUGAGUUUUAAAAUUAAGAAUUGUAAUUAAAAAAAUUUUAAUAAUAAUGUGUGCUUUAAGAAAUCAAUGCUUGCUGGUCAAUGAUGACAGCUAAAUUAAUCGCUAAGACCCUAGGCAUGACGUCAUGCCUAUUAGAACACUAGCUUAUUAGAACACUAGCUAAAAUAAAAAGAUUUGUAUUGCAAAUUGGGCAAGGUUUCCAUUGGACUUGUUUUGAUGGCUUAAUAGCAAAAAAUGUCCUUACGUUUAGUUUUUA